AAGAAGUCAGGCCAGAUUAAGCCAUAGUACGGAAAGAGCUAUGCUGCCUGUGAGCCCCGUCCAAGGACGUUAAAUGAAGUCAGGCCGAAAGCCACGGAUUGAGCAA
RNAcentral lists this long non-coding RNA (106 nucleotides) under dengue virus type 1. RNAcentral describes it as "dengue virus type I partial sfRNA1". The record is from RNAcentral. Lineage: Riboviria; Orthornavirae; Kitrinoviricota; Flasuviricetes; Amarillovirales; Flaviviridae.